ACCCUCCAUUGCGCGCCAAUAGGCUGUCGGAGGCUGUCUUCGGAGGACACUUGCCAUUCCUUGACCGGUGCGUUUGGUCUCAUUGCAGUUUGACCAAAGUAAAAAUCGGUGUUUGGAGGUAACAAACAAAGUUAGCGUCGUUUUUACAAUGUCUGUGGUGGCGUCGGACGAACAUGACGAUUUCAUCAUUUUUCGUGUACACGACAAUCGGCAUUCAACACGUCAUUUCGACGCUGCGUCUUUUUUGAGCUGAGUCUAAAGUGACGGUCAGUGAACGCGGAACGACAGGACCACAGCAUCACGCCGAAGCCAUUAUUCACCUGUUCACCUGCAGUUGCGAUUGUGUGAAAUAACGCGUACACAUGGUAAUCGGCUCGUCAUAAUAGGAUAAGUAAGAUUCAAAGACAAUCGCUACCGUCGUGCAGAUCUUUCCAAUCAAUUUUGACGUACAACCCGAUUUAAAGGAAAAAAUAUACCGAUUCAGUGACCAUGAAUAACACGAAUAUUCAACUUGAAGAUUAUAUAGAAAUGCUAUGUAGUUUCAGAUAUUUUGAUCUGAAAUUUCUUUUGAGUACGUUUGAUCAAAAUAAAGUUGGCCGAAAAUCUGUAUUAUUAGAUCGAGCAAUUGGAUUGUUGAGGACUAAACCAGCUAAUAUUGACUACGAAUCAUUUACUGCAAAUAUACAUGAUAUAUAUCAUAUCUUAUUACAGGAUCAACCACAAAGAAUGGAUGGACCAAUACCUCAAGUAAAUGAUUUUAAUAAUUUUGUCGAUCUGUUCAUUAGUGACGACGAAGAAGCACCAACAAACAAAAAAUAAACAGGAAAAUGAAGCUCCAAGUACAGCUGCAACGAGCUGUUAUUGAAAUAGACAUUCCAUCCAUUCCUUCAAGUCCUACCCCUUUAACUGAAGCCUUCUAAUUUUUUUUUUAAUAAUAUAAGUAAUUUUGAUAGUAUAAGCUUUUAAAAUUAUGUAGUUCAAUCCAUGUAUUAACAAUAUAUUUUUUAGAAUGGCAUUCAAUAAACAUUAAAAUAUUUAUAUA
This is a long non-coding RNA of Aphis gossypii (cotton aphid), 1042 nucleotides long. RefSeq lists it as uncharacterized. NCBI's taxonomy places the organism in Eukaryota, Metazoa, Arthropoda, Insecta, Hemiptera, Aphididae. The transcript is spliced from 3 exons. The record is from RefSeq and is a predicted model, not a curated record.